RNAcentral lists this non-coding RNA (116 nucleotides) under uncultured Ferdinandcohnia sp. RNAcentral describes it as "SAM riboswitch (S box leader)". It matches the Rfam family "SAM riboswitch aptamer (S box leader)". Rfam says of the family: The SAM riboswitch is found upstream of a number of genes which code for proteins involved in methionine or cysteine biosynthesis in Gram-positive bacteria. The SAM riboswitch acts at the level of transcription termination control. Lineage: Bacteria; Bacillati; Bacillota; Bacilli; Caryophanales; Bacillaceae. The record is from RNAcentral.
UCUUAUUGAGAGUGGCUGAGGGACUGGCCCUGUGAAGCCCGGCAACCAUUCAUGUUUAACCUAAGCAUGAACAGGUGCUAAAUCCUGCAAAAUACAUUGUAUUUUGAAAAAUAAGA